CUUAAGCAUAUCAAUAAGCGGAGGAAAAGAAACCAACAGGGAUUGCCCUAGUAACGGCGAGUGAAGCGGCAACAGCUCAAAUUUGAAAUCUGGCUCUUUCAGAGUCCGAGUUGUAAUUUGCAGAGGGCGCUUUGGCGUUGGGAGCGGUCCAAGUUCUUUGGAACAGGACGUCACAGAGGGUGAGAAUCCCGUACGUGGUCGCUAUCCUUCGCCGUGUAAAGCCCCUUCGACGAGUCGAGUUGUUUGGGAAUGCAGCUCUAAAUGGGAGGUAAAUUUCUUCUAAAGCUAAAUACUGGCCAGAGACCGAUAGCGCACAAGUAGAGUGAUCGAAAGAUGAAAAGCACUUUGGAAAGAGAGUCAAAUAGCACGUGAAAUUGUUGAAAGGGAAGCGCUUGCAGCCAGACUUGCCUGUAGUUGCUUAUCUGGACUUUUGUCCAGUGCACUCUUCUGCGGGCAGGCCAGCAUCAGUUUGGGCGGUUGGAUAAAGGUCUCUGUCAUGUACCUCCUUUCGGGGAGGCCUUAUAGGGGAGACGACAUGCAACCAGCCUGGACUGAGGUCCGCGCAUCUGCUAGGAUGCUGGCGUAAUGGCUGUAAGCGGCCCGUCUUGAAACACGGACCAAGGAGUCUAACAUCUAUGCGAGUGUUUGGGUGUCAAGCCCAGACGCGUAAUGAAAGUGAACGGAGGUGGGAACCUUUUAGGUGCACCAUCGACCGAUCCUGAUGUCUUCGGAAGGAUUUGAGUAAGAGCAUAGCUGUUGGGACCCGAAAGAUGGUGAACUAUGCUUGAAUAGGGUGAAGCCAGAGGAAACUCUGGUGGAGGCUCGCAGCGGUUCUGACGUGCAAAUCGAUCGUCAAA
RNAcentral lists this ribosomal RNA (857 nucleotides) under Parastagonospora nodorum. Its description in RNAcentral is "LSU rRNA". It matches the Rfam family "Eukaryotic large subunit ribosomal RNA", at positions 33 to 909 of the family's 3401-position model. The record is from RNAcentral. Lineage: Eukaryota; Fungi; Ascomycota; Dothideomycetes; Pleosporales; Phaeosphaeriaceae.